This 5413-nucleotide long non-coding RNA is filed under the name Homo sapiens (human). RNAcentral's name for it is "HSALNT0087019". The record is from RNAcentral. Lineage: Eukaryota; Metazoa; Chordata; Mammalia; Primates; Hominidae.
GGUGAGCUGAGAUUGCGCCAUUGCACUCCAGCCUGGGCCACAAAGUGAAACUCCGUCUCAAAACAAAAACAAAAACAAAAACAAAAACAAAAAAACUCACUGAAUACAAACAACGUAUCUCCUUUCUUCCAAUUUUAAGUCUUUUUCUAGUAGCUCCUGCUGUGUACAUGUGGUUUGUUGUUAAUAUUGGCAUAUUACAGUAUUCUAAAUUAUUUUAUUUUCUUUUAGAAAGGGUCUCACUCUGUCACCCAGGCUGGAGUGCUGUGAUACAAACAUGGCUCAUUGCAGCCUCAACCUCCUGGGCUCAAGCAAUCCUCCAGCCUCAACCUUCCAAGUUGCUGGGACCACAGGCACAUGUUACCACACCCACCUAAUUUUUUUUAAAUUAUGUUAUUCACACUUUUUUUUAGGAUGAUUAGAGAUUAGGGCUCAGGAGCAGUGGAACAUAACUUUGAGGAAAUGCAAUAAGUUCAGAAGAAGAUGUGGUGACAAGAAAGCUGUAAGGAGGCUAUAUGCUGUAGAGAUAAAUGCCCAAGCUUUGGAAGCAAACAAGCCUCUGUUCAAAUCCUGGCUCUGCCCUUAUAACGUAUGUACAAAUUAUUAAAGUGCUUAGUACAGUGCCUAUCGUAUAACAGAUAUGUUGGCUCUCAUUACUUUUUCUUUCAACCCAUAUGUGGAAGCUUGCCCAGUGUGGAAGGUAUCAAUAAUUUGAAAACUGUAGCUUAGAGGUAGCUUUGGGAUAUAGUUAAUAAUAUGGUAUCAAAAACAUGUACUUCCUACUUAAUAAUUUGUUUGCAGGGAAUGUUGAAGAAAGAAUGUUGAACUCUUGAUUAGAUUUAGUAAUGGACUGUCAAAACAGUAACGCUUUCCAAUAAGUGACAAGAUCUGUAGCUGGAUUUGAAUGUGUGUGCUACUUGUUCUGUUCCAAGCACAUAAAAGGAAUUAUCUGUAUGGGCUCAGUUAUCCCACUGCCUUGUUAAGAGUCCAAAAUUGACACAGCUGUUACUAGAAGUUCUUAUCACUUUCUUUUUUUCAAGUAAAGAAUAGUGGAAAUAAUUAUUGACUGGGUGGUGUGUAGGAGAGCUUGGUUCUUCUUCUGGCCAUUUGUAGAAGGCAAGUUAAAUCUCUACAGGCUUUAUAGGUCAACCUCUACACUGAAAGUUUCUGUUUUUUUUUAUUUGUUUGUUUUUAAAGCUCUCACAUUGAAUAUUCUGAUAGGAGACUACAAGAAUCACGUCAGGGCUGAGAAAAAAAAUCUUGUUAGGAGAUAUUCAAUACAAACAAAUUGACAGGUCAAGAAAGCAUGGUGAAAUGAGCAUUAGACGAGGACUCACCUAUAGCUACCCUGUAAGUUGCAGAAUGAUAUAAAUUCUUCAUUUGCAGCUUGGGAAACUGAGGUGUAGAGAGAGUGAAAAUACUGGUCAGCCCUACUUUCUCCUUAGAGCUUUUCAAGAUUCAAAUGAAAUGCCAGAUGUGGAAAUAACUUACUUUUAUGUUACUCAAUAGUCUUCAGGUUACUACUACUGGGUCUGCAAUUGCAUGUUAUGAUUUAAAACUUCCUUCUAGGCAUUGCAAUUUUUUAAACUUAGCCAAAUUUAUUUGAACAAAUCCAGUCUUUUAGAUUCUGUCAUAGUCAUACCCAAAUUUGUGGCAUUUCUCUUGUAUGUAUAGAUGUGCUUCACACUCAUCUGACAUCCCAUCAGUUGUUUUAUGACUCCACUUCCAGUUUGCCUACAGUAAACAAAAGCAUAUCUAUUUACAAAGUUUUUAUCUGUCCUUAUAAACUUUUGCUGAUCAAAUGCUGGUGAAAGCUUUAUAGAGACAACUAGUUUAUAGUAAGGAACCAAAUAAACAGUCACAGGAAGUAUUUUCCUAAGGACCUAAGUUUUACCUCACCAAGGCAGAAGAUUAAUCAAAUUAGCUGUUCUGCCCCUAGCUGAGAUGAGUAUUUGUUACUUCAGAGUUAAAAAAUAAAAGAAACAAGUAAGCAAUAAAUACAGUCUUGGGUUGCUUGUGUAUGGGGGAAAAUGACCUUCGAAACCCUAUAGUAACUGUUUAGCCCUAAGGCAAAAUAUUUGAUUAUAAUAAUCAUCUUAAUAUUCAUUAGUAACUGCAAAAUUAGGCACUAGUAAUUCAUCAAGCUACAGCAUUUAAAACCAGGACCUUAGGAGGCUGUCUUGCUUGCAUAUUUCUAAAGAAUUCAAUCCUUUUCGUUUAUCUUAAAUGUAGACUCUCACUUCUUGUUCUCACAAAAUUUUAGAAGUUCUCACUUCCAAAAUUCUCCUAUAUUUAAAAAAACUAUGAGACUGGUUAUAAAUAGAAGAAUGGACAAAAUGACAAGAACCACCUACCCACUAAAUCUUGUCAUGUGAUGUUCCUUGUAGAUCAUACUUACACCUUCUCUGAUCAUUAAUUAUGACCCAGUUCAAAGAAUGCUGCAGGUUCAGCACAGUUCCUUAUAUCCACAACUAAUUUCCCAACCUUUCUCAAAUUUCCACUCCAAUCUUAACUCUAUUUAUGAAAUAUGUAUAUUUUGGAUAGCAAAUUAAAAUUUAUUUUUUAUACUAAACUCAAUACCAACCCCCCUCUAAGAGCUGUAGCUCUUUCUUCCCUGGUGUCCAGGAGGCAAAACCUUGGCUGCUUUUCAGUGGCUGCUUGUUUUCCUUAGGUAUUAUAUCAAGCUUUCUGAAAUUCCAAGUAAACUACAUUUGCUUUGUUAGCCUUUCCAAAGCAUUUAAAAUGAUUCCAACGCUUUGAUUUUCCUUAAAUGGGAUUAGCAACCACUUGAUUUGAUAAAAUUAGAUGCUUCAUUAGUUUCUUUGGAACUGAAGAUAAGCUCAACUGCUUUCAAUGUCAGAGAGUUCUGAGCUUUAAUCUUAAUUUACAACAUGAAUAUGAAAACAUGAAAAAAGAAAGUUGUAAAAGGAAGCCAAGGAAGACUGUAUUUGCGGAAGGGUUUUUGAUUAUUUCAGUAAUUGCUGAAUUGUGGGGGGGGGGGUGGGUGGGUGGCAUAAUGAACCCAUCAUUUAUCACUAAUUUAUAAUUAAACUGAUUCUGAAAUUAGACUUUAGUAGCCAAAACUAAAGGCGACAAACUGAUGCCACUGCUAUUUUAGGAUUCCUUAUUUCUCACAAAGCUAUAUAAAUACUUGACUAAUGGGAUUACUUCUUAAUUGAGCUAGUUUCAAUUUUCAGGUCAAGAUUACUUAAAAUUUACUACACGUUACUAACAUUAUACAGGUGGACAGUAUUUCUUGUUAGUUAAAAUGUGGUUAAUCUGCAAACCACAAAUACAGCUCCUAUAAUUUCUUGCCUCUAGGUCCUCAAAUAAUUUCAAGGCUUUGUGUAAGGGCCCUGAAUCUUAGGUCCAGGUCUACCACUUCAGCCUAUGAGGUGAAUUAAGCCUUGUAUGUCUCUCUAGAUGUUGGAAGAAAAUAAUUCAUCCGUGGCUGUGCAGAAAUCCAUAGCUUUACAUGCUUACUUCCAACCAAAACACAUUUAUAAAGUAUGUGCAUGUUGCUAACCUUCUAGCUCUAAUUCCUCUGUCCCUUUAAGUGGAUGUUCUGAAAAUAACAACCAUUCACUUUGUCAUUUACUGUUCUGUAAAACACAAGGCAGAGGCCCAGGAACAGGGGCCCCAUCAGGAGCAGUGUUGUUUCUUCCAAAAUCUCACUUUAUUCUAGGUUGCCAUUACAGACAGUAAAAUAUAUUUAUGUGGCUCAAGUGUGACUUAACUCUGUAAAUUAUAUUGGGUCCUGGAAUGGCUUAAAGGCUCUUAUGGCCUAUUAUAUUUACUUCUGUUUAUACAAAUUGGUAAGAACCUACUGUAUUCUGGCUCUGAGCCCCCUCUAAGUUCCUUCCAUUUACAGUCACUUUUAUCAAAGAUAUAUUUUUACACCAAAGAUCCCUGGACAGUAUCAAUAAGGAAAAGGAAGGAAUAAUAGCCCAUUACAUUUUAUAUUCUCUUGUUCCCAACAAGCAUAAGAAAAAGCAGUUAUCUCUUUUUGAGUUGGUAGUUUAGAAUUUCCAGGAAUGCAGUGUUUUGGAAGAUGGAAGAACUCAUAACUAGUUGCUUUCAAGAGAAACUCUAGAUAAAGUAUUGCAUUAUUCUGCCCAUCUGCUUCUGGUGCAUUCCAUUUUAGCCACAGGCAAAGUAGAAAACUAGGUAGGGUUUGAGCCUUUCUGUUUAUCAUAUUUUAAAAGUUAAUCCAAAGGCAAUUCUUAAAAGAUGAACUAAAAAUGAAGUGUACCAAAACUCCAACCCACGCUUUACAAACGCCAAAAUGAGAAAUGUUCUACGAGGGAGACGUGAUGUAAUAACACAUGAGCUGGGUCUGGCCUCAGACGGCCUAAGGUCCAUUACAAGCUGUAGAGCUUUGGCUUGAAGAAACAAAGACAGCCAUCUCUAAACCUCGGUUUCUCUAAAAUGGUACUGUACCUCGCACAGUUGUCGAGAAUUCAAAUCCCAUACCCUAUGUAUAUCAGCCUGUCCAUAAUUAGUCACCCUGAGAAACUUUGCUUUCCUGGUCUAGACAGAAUGAAAGAAACUGAGUCUGGACCCUGCCCUGUAUAUGAAUUAGAAUUUGUGUGCUUUAAGCUGCCCUCCCAGGGCACACCAUGGUAAAGAGCAGGGAGCCUAGCUUGACUGUGUAGGUUCGGCUGGAUUAUUUUAAGCGUAUCAUUCACUCCCUCAGUGAAGUGAGGGAGUUAGACUAAAACACCUCUUGAUAUCUCUUCUAGCUUUAAAAUUCUACGCAAUCCACGGGGGAAGAAAUUCAAGAAACCUUGCAUACAUCAAAACACCAAAAACCCCACUUUCCUUAAAAAUGGUUUACAACGAACAGAUCACCAUCCCUGACAUUUCAGGUUUUGCAGUUCACAGUUCACAGUACGGAGGAAUGGGCUAAGUCACACUACAGCAGGCUCCCCUCCACGUCUAACAGAGGGGGCGGGGGGUUUUCUUGGAAGACUCGGCCAGUGUCAGGCAGCAAGGGGUAAGGGCUGUCUCGGUGGAGAAAGAAACCCAGGCUUCCGGGAACAUAAACUGGGGGAUGUAGGGGCAAAGCACCUGCUAAAUCUCGUUAGGGUUGGGACUUCAAAGAGGGUUGGGCCUGCUCUGAGAAACAGUGUGGGAAUCCCAGCCCCGACCUAAAGGCGACACGUUCACUGCCAAGGACUCAGAGGGAAAGCAGGGAGCGGGGAAUGGACGCGGGAGGUGGAUGCGAGAAAAAGGCCGAGUAGGGCCCCAGCCCCGGUCACUCACCACGAGCGGGAUGGAGCAGAUGAGCACCACCAGGGAGGUGGCAAUGAGUAAGAUGACCAUCUGGAUCUCGGCGCCCGCGAUGCGGCGGAAGCUCCGGCGGCGCCGAAAGUCGCUGAGGACGGUGGCGAGAAUGAGGAAGGAGCUGAAGCCC